UCAUUGCAUGGGACAAAGAGGGAGAGAAAAGCCAUGCGCAAUCCUCUUCUUCUCACGAUUGCGGCUGAACAUAGACGCGAUCAUGUGCAGCUAGACCGAAGAAGUCCCACGAAAUCACAAGUCGGCGAGAUUAAUUUAUUUAGAUCGAGUAUUGUCUAAUGGGCUCAAAUUCGAGACAUAUUUUAACACUUAUUCUAAACAAAUGCCAAGUCAAUACUGCUCUGGAUAACGUUGAGAGAGAGAGAAUCCUUUAAAUAUUAUCAAGUGGCCCACUCGCCCCACAGAGAAGAAGUGGAAGAUGGCGGCGAGGUGACCAAGCAGUGGACAAAGCAGGAAAGCUUCCAAAUCUGUAAAUGAAUCCUCAAUUUGCUCCUUUUGUCAUCUUUCUCUUAUUUAAUUACAGAAACAAGUUUUACUUUGUCUUCUUAGACUCUCUGAUCUUUACUUUGUCUUAUUAAGUCACUCUAUUGUUCCUUGUGGGGUACUCCUCACUUGUGCCUUAUCUUUUUUACUGGGUGCAAUCCAGUCUCCUCUAUUUAAACUUGCACUUCUCGAAUGGCUUUCCCGUGCAGAGCAACUGGCGAGGCAUACUGCAUUUUCUGAUCAAUGAUUGUUGUGUUAACACGACAUGGAGGGCCAAUGUGCAAUCAAGAGAGAUGUCACUGAGUUAAUAGGCAAUACUCCUAUGGUUUAUCUCAAUAAUGUUGUGGAAGGCUGUGUAGCUCGCAUCGCUGCAAAGCUUGAGAACAUGGAGCCUUGUUCUAGUGUUAAAGACAGGACUGCACUUAGCAUGAUCGAAGAUGCUGAGGAAAAAGGCCUGAUAACUCCCGGAAAGACUGUCCUUAUCGAAAUCACCGGUGGUAACACUGGCAUCGGUUUGGCUUUUAUUGCUGCCAUUAAGGGCUACAAACUUGUCCUUGUCAUGCCCGCUUCAUAUAGUCUUGAGAGAAGAAUUGUGAUGCGAGCUUUUGGAGCUGAGGUAUUCCUCACGGAUCCUGCCAAGGGGUUAGAUGGUGACCUUCAAAAGGCCGAGGAGAUCCGGGACAGGACACCGAAUAGUCACAUGCUCCUGCAGUUUGAGAAUCCAGCGAACCCAAAGAUUCAUUAUGAAACUACUGGCCCAGAAAUAUGGAAGGACUCAGGAGGAAAGGUGAAUGCGUUCGUUUCAGGAAUAGGGACAGGAGGAACUCUAACUGGCGUGGGCAAAUUCCUUAAGGAAAAAAACCCAGAGAUCAAGGUGUAUGGAGUCGAGCCAGUUGAAAGUGCAGUCCUGGAUGGCGGAAAUCCAGUUGAUAUCUGAAACAUACAACAGGCAAGCACUUGAUACAAGGAAUUGGCGCUGGUUUCAUCCCACCAGUUUUGGACGUCGGCUUGCUUGACGAGGUCCUCCAAAUAUCAAGUGAGGAAGCU
Eucalyptus grandis is the source of this 1410-nucleotide RNA transcript. It is a transcript of the gene named cysteine synthase, with no coding region annotated. The record is from RefSeq and is a predicted model, not a curated record. Lineage: Eukaryota; Viridiplantae; Streptophyta; Magnoliopsida; Myrtales; Myrtaceae. The transcript has 9 exons.